UUAGUUAAAGUGAACCACAUAAAAAUUUGAUUUUUAAAAAGAUUAAUAAUCUAACUACA
Molecule: transfer RNA, 59 nt
Filed under: Linyphia triangularis
Lineage: Eukaryota; Metazoa; Arthropoda; Arachnida; Araneae; Linyphiidae
Description: tRNA-Gln
Source: RNAcentral